Schizosaccharomyces pombe (fission yeast) is the source of this 449-nucleotide non-coding RNA. Lineage: Eukaryota; Fungi; Ascomycota; Schizosaccharomycetes; Schizosaccharomycetales; Schizosaccharomycetaceae. The record is from the annotation of a GenBank genome assembly.
AUUGAGACGACUGGUAAUGAGUAGCAGCAAUAGAAUCACUAAAUAAUAUAGUACCUUCAAUUUGGUCUCUCGUCUAUGUCUUUGGCAUAGAUGGUAGAUACAAAGCAUUCGCUACAACCAAAUCUUCCUCAUGGCUUACAGAUACCAUUACGGGAGAAAGCGGAAAUCGGGGAUCAUGAAUAACAACGGAAGGGUAGCCUAUAUUAAUCAUAACAAAGUCAGUAACUUUACAAACCUUUUAUUUUUAAACAUUGAACAUGGAAAACAAAUGACACACCUGUGGGAGUUCGAACAUACUCCAUCAUAGACAUGUAAACUCGAAAAUUCGGUUGUAAAGCUUUGAAAACAGCUUCUUUGACGCACCAUCUACAUAGGAAAAUAACCGUUAAAACUAUGAAACGAUCAUAAAUAUAGACAAGCAUACCUAACAGCAAGCCAUUUAGCCUGUU